GGAUGAACGCUGGCGGCGUGCCUAAUACAUGCAAGUCGAACGCUGGAAAUCUAGCUUGCUAGAUUGAAGGAGUGGCGAACGGGUGAGUAAUACAUAAGCAACCUACCCACGAAGACUGGGAUAAUCUCUGGAAACGGGGACUAAUACCGGAUAGGUAAUCGGAAGGCAUCUUCUGAUUAUUAAAGGUUAAAAACACUGGUGGAUGGGCUUAUGGCGCAUUAGUUAGUUGGUGAGGUAACGGCCCACCAAGACGAUGAUGCGUAGCCGGCCUGAGAGGGUGAACGGCCACAUUGGGACUGAGACACGGCCCAGACUCCUACGGGAGGCAGCAGUAGGGAAUUGUCGGCAAUGGGGGAAACCCUGACCGAGCAACGCCGCGUGAGUGAUGACGGCCUUCGGGUUGUAAAGCUCUGUUGUAAGGGAAGAACGGUAGAUAGAGAAUAUCUAAAUGACGGUACCUUACCAGAAAGCCACGGCUAACUACGUG
Molecule: ribosomal RNA, 487 nt
Filed under: uncultured bacterium
Lineage: Bacteria
Description: partial 16S ribosomal RNA
Rfam family: Bacterial small subunit ribosomal RNA
Source: RNAcentral